This 878-nucleotide ribosomal RNA is filed under the name uncultured bacterium. RNAcentral describes it as "bacterial SSU rRNA". It matches the Rfam family "Bacterial small subunit ribosomal RNA", at positions 509 to 1401 of the family's 1533-position model. The record is from RNAcentral.
CAGCAGCCGCGGUAAGACGUAAGAUGCAAACGUUAUCCGGAAUUAUUGGGCGUAAAGAGUUCGUAGACGAACUGUUAAGUAGAAUGUUAAAGGCCAGGGCCUAACCCUGGUAUGGUGUUCUAAACUGGCAGACUAGAGUAUAGCAGAGGCAAGUGGAAUUCUGUGUGUAGGGGUAAUAUCCGUAGAUAUACAGAGGAACACCAAAAGCGAAGGCAGCUUGCUGGGCUAUUACUGACGUUCAAGAACGAAAGCGUGGGGAGCAAACAGGAUUAGAUACCCUGGUAGUCCACGCCCUAAACUAUGAUCACUCGAUGUUGGAGGAUUCGACCCCUUCGGCGUCCAAGCUAACGCGAUAAGUGAUCCGCCUGGGUAGUACGAUCGCAAGAUUAAAACUCAAAGAAAUAGACGGGGACCCGCACAAGCGGUGGAGCAUCUGGUUUAAUUCGACAAUAAGCGGAAAACCUCACCAAGACUUGACAUCCCGAGAAGACUGCCGAAAGGUGGUUGUGCCGCAAGGAACUCGGUGACAGGUGCUGCAUGGUUGUCGUCAGCUCGUGCCUUGAGGUGUUCGGUUAAGUCCGUAAACGAGCGCAACCCAUGUCGUGAGUUGUAUUUUUCUCACGAGACUGCCGGUUCUAAAUCGGAGGAAGGUAUGGAUGACGUCAAAUCAGCAUGGCCCUUAUGUCUUGGGCCACACAGGUGCUACAAUGGACAGUACAAAGGGCUGCAACAUAGCAAUAUGAAGCCAAUCCCAAAAACUGUUCUUAGUUCGGAUUGAAGGCUGCAAUUCGCCUUCAUGAAGCUGGAAUCGCUAGUAAACGUGAAUCAGCACGUCACGUUGAAUAUGUUCCCGGGUCUUGUACUCACCGCCCGUCAAG